Molecule: non-coding RNA, 192 nt
Organism: Vicia faba (fava bean)
Lineage: Eukaryota; Viridiplantae; Streptophyta; Magnoliopsida; Fabales; Fabaceae
Source: the annotation of a GenBank genome assembly
AUGCAAGACAUUUUUUUAAGAAUAGUUAUAACAUGGAAAGAAAGUGAUAAUCGCAAACCACGGUUGGGACCUCAUUCUUACUUUCAGCUUUUUACUCUUAGAAGACUAUUUGGCUUGCUCAAAGACACGGAGAUCAGGAAUCAUGUCACUGCCAAAGGAGGUUUGAAAUUUUGCAAGACCAACUUCAAGUAG